This 947-nucleotide ribosomal RNA is filed under the name Bacillus sp. (in: firmicutes). Its description in RNAcentral is "bacterial SSU rRNA". It matches the Rfam family "Bacterial small subunit ribosomal RNA", at positions 57 to 984 of the family's 1533-position model. The record is from RNAcentral. Lineage: Bacteria; Bacillati; Bacillota; Bacilli; Caryophanales; Bacillaceae.
GCAGUCGAGCGGACAGAUGGGAGCUUGCUCCCUGAUGUUAGCGGCGGACGGGUGAGUAACACGUGGGUAACCUGCCUGUAAGACUGGGAUAACUCCGGGAAACCGGGGCUAAUACCGGAUGCUUGUUUGAACCGCAUGGUUCAAACAUAAAAGGUGGCUUCGGCUACCACUUACAGAUGGACCCGCGGCGCAUUAGCUAGUUGGUGAGGUAAUGGCUCACCAAGGCAACGAUGCGUAGCCGACCUGAGAGGGUGAUCGGCCACACUGGGACUGAGACACGGCCCAGACUCCUACGGGAGGCAGCAGUAGGGAAUCUUCCGCAAUGGACGAAAGUCUGACGGAGCAACGCCGCGUGAGUGAUGAAGGUUUUCGGAUCGUAAAGCUCUGUUGUUAGGGAAGAACAAGUACCGUUCGAAUAGGGCGGUACCUUGACGGUACCUAACCAGAAAGCCACGGCUAACUACGUGCCAGCAGCCGCGGUAAUACGUAGGUGGCAAGCGUUGUCCGGAAUUAUUGGGCGUAAAGGGCUCGCAGGCGGUUCCUUAAGUCUGAUGUGAAAGCCCCCGGCUCAACCGGGGAGGGUCAUUGGAAACUGGGGAACUUGAGUGCAGAAGAGGAGAGUGGAAUUCCACGUGUAGCGGUGAAAUGCGUAGAGAUGUGGAGGAACACCAGUGGCGAAGGCGACUCUCUGGUCUGUAACUGACGCUGAGGAGCGAAAGCGUGGGGAGCGAACAGGAUUAGAUACCCUGGUAGUCCACGCCGUAAACGAUGAGUGCUAAGUGUUAGGGGGUUUCCGCCCCUUAGUGCUGCAGCUAACGCAUUAAGCACUCCGCCUGGGGAGUACGGUCGCAAGACUGAAACUCAAAGGAAUUGACGGGGGCCCGCACAAGCGGUGGAGCAUGUGGGUUUAAUUCGAAGCAACGCGAAGAAACCUUACCAGGUCUUGA